AUGUAUCCAGUGGCUUGGACUGUAGUUGAGAAGGAAACAAAAUAAAGUUGGAAGUGGUUUGUUGGGCUGCUUAUCAAAGAUCUUGAUAUCAACAACAAUGGAGCUGGCUCGGUUUUUAUUUCAGAUCAGCAAAAGGGAUUAAUAAAUGCAAUGCAAGACUAUCUUCCAAAUGCAGAACACAGGAUGUGUGCUAGGCACAUAUAUGCUAACUGGAGAAAGAAGCAUAGGUCUCAUGAGUGGUAG
This 243-nucleotide ribosomal RNA is filed under the name Triticum aestivum (bread wheat). RNAcentral describes it as "partial small subunit ribosomal RNA". Lineage: Eukaryota; Viridiplantae; Streptophyta; Magnoliopsida; Poales; Poaceae. The record is from RNAcentral.